GUAAAUUGGGGGCGAGAGGGCGGGGGAAUAGGGAGGGGGGGAGGGUUAAUCGGAUUUACUGGGCGGAAAGGGGGCGUAGGUGGCUAAUUAAGUCAAAGGGGAAAUCCCCGAGCUUAACUUGGGAAUUGCAUUCGAUACUGGUUGGCUAGAGUAUGGGAGAGGAUGGUAGAAUUCCAGGUGUAGCGGUGAAAUGCGUAGAGAUCUGGAGGAAUACCGAUGGCGAAGGCAGCCAUCUGGCCUAAUACUGACACUGAGGUGCGAAAGCAUGGGGAGCAAACAGGAUUAGAUACCCCUGUAGUC
Molecule: ribosomal RNA, 300 nt
Filed under: uncultured archaeon
Lineage: Archaea
Description: partial 16S ribosomal RNA
Rfam family: Bacterial small subunit ribosomal RNA (bases 52-300)
Source: RNAcentral